AGUGAACGCUGGCGGUAGGCCUAACACAUGCAAGUCGAACGGCAGCACAGUAAGAGCUUGCUCUUACGGGUGGCGAGUGGCGGACGGGUGAGGAAUACAUCGGAAUCUACUUUUUCGUGGGGGAUAACGUAGGGAAACUUACGCUAAUACCGCAUACGACCUACGGGUAAAAGCAGGGGAUCUUCGGACCUUGCGCGAUUGAUUGAGCCGAUGUCGGAUUAGCUAGUUGGCGGGGUAAAGGCCCACCAAGGCGACGAUCCGUAGCUGGUCUGAGGAUGAUCAGCCACACUGGAACUGAGACACGGUCCAGACUCCUACGGGAGGCAGCAGUGGGGAAUAUUGGACAAUGGGCGCAAGCCUGAUCCAGCCAUACCGCGUGGGUGAAGAAGGCCUUCGGGUUGUAAAGCCCUUUUGUUGGGAAAGAAAAGCAGCAGGUUAAUACCCCGCUGUUCUGACGGUACCCAAAGAGUAAGCACCGGCUAACUUCGUG
RNAcentral lists this ribosomal RNA (490 nucleotides) under uncultured bacterium. RNAcentral describes it as "partial 16S ribosomal RNA". It matches the Rfam family "Bacterial small subunit ribosomal RNA", at positions 29 to 507 of the family's 1533-position model. The record is from RNAcentral.